RNAcentral lists this ribosomal RNA (482 nucleotides) under uncultured bacterium. Its description in RNAcentral is "bacterial SSU rRNA". It matches the Rfam family "Bacterial small subunit ribosomal RNA", at positions 29 to 507 of the family's 1533-position model. The record is from RNAcentral.
AUUGAACGCUGGCGGAAUGCUUUACACAUGCAAGUCGAGCGGCAGCGCGGGGCAACCUGGCGGCGAGCGGCGAACGGGUGAGUAACACAUCGGAACGUGCCCAGACGUGGGGGAUAGCCCGGCGAAAGCCGGAUUAAUACCGCAUGUGAUCUGAGGAUGAAAGUGGGGGACCGCAAGGCCUCACGCGUUUGGAGCGGCCGAUGGCAGAUUAGGUAGUUGGUGGGGUAAAGGCUUACCAAGCCUGCGAUCUGUAGCUGGUCUGAGAGGAUGAUCAGCCACACUGGGACUGAGACACGGCCCAGACUCCUACGGGAGGCAGCAGUGGGGAAUUUUGGACAAUGGGCGCAAGCCUGAUCCAGCCAUUCCGCGUGCAGGACGAAGGCCUUCGGGUUGUAAACUGCUUUUGUACGGAACGAAAGGGCUCUGGUUAAUACCUGGGGCAUAUGACGGUACCGUAAGAAUAAGCACCGGCUAACUACGUG